AAUUCCUCGAUUCUUCCGCCCCGCUCUUAUCCUUUCCCUUUCCUUCUCCAAUCUCCACCGCCCGCUUAUUUCCUUAUCUCUUCCGCACGCGCUCCUCUCAGCCGGCGACGCCAUCCCUCUCCCUCCACCAACGACGCCGCUCCCCCUCCUGCUUCCCUCACCAAUGACGCCGCUCCCCAUACCCCUUAGCCGCCCUUUCCCGGCGGCCGGCGCCCUAUCCUUAUCUCCUCGUUUUUCCCGAUCAAUUUCUCUUCCUCUCACUCUCGGUCUUUCUCUCCUCCGCUGCUAGUCCUCUCCUCAUUGCGCCUUCUUUCCUUUCCCUCUUUUUCUUCUUCUCUCCACACUUCCACAGUCGACGACACCCUCCAUCUCCGUCCCUCCCACUCCCCCCACGGCGGCGUCGCUCCCUGUACCCCUCAGCCACGGCGCCCUCUCCCCAGCCGACGGCGCCCUUCCCCUGGUAGCGGCGCCCUACCCUUGGCGGCCAGUGCCUCCGCCGCUGCGCCCUGCCCCCGGCCGGCGGCGUCUUUCACCCGGCGAGCAGCGGUGCGCAACGGGCCGGGGAGCGGCGGCCCGCGACCAACUCCUCGGUGUCGGCGGCUCUCUCCUCCCGCGAGCGGCAACGUGCGUCGGCGCCUCUCCGCCCCUCACCUCCUCUCCCUUGCCAUAAUGCCACGGGAGGGCUCGACGGUGGCGGGCGGUGGCAGGCUGCGGCGCCGGCCCUUCCGGCGGGUAGGGAGGCGGUGGGCAGGGGCGGUGCCCUCCCCUCCGCCGGAUCCAGCGGGAGGGAAGGGGCGGCGGCCGGGCAUCCCGGAUCCAGCGUGAGGGGAGGGGAUGGGAGGAGAGGCGGUGGCGACCCGGCGGACGGCGUCCCAGCGGCGGCGGCGCCCUCCCCUCGCCGGAUCCAGCGGGAGGGGAGCCAGCGGCGGCCCGACGGCGACGGCGGCACCCUCCCCUUCCUGUGUCGGCAUUUUUUUUGUUUUUUUAGGGAAAGUGUCGGUAUUUUCUUGUGUUCUUGUUGAUAAAAAUCUGUUCAAUCUGUUCUUGUCUUCUUGUAGUAGUGUUUUUUCUAGGAUUUGGGUCCAAAUUUGAUGCGUACUCGGAUUAAGGCGCACGGGGGUAGGCUGUGAAGGCCAGUACCGAGGUUGCCACCGUGACCUUUUUCUUUCUUCGUUUUUUUUUUACCAUCGGAUAAGGGUUGAAGCGGGAUAGAUCGCACGCGCGCGUAGGAAGGAUUUUUUUUGUGACGGACGAAACGGACGAUCGGAAACCUUACGAAUUUUUUAAGUAGGAGGGGGAUGGAGGCUUGGCACAUGGUGGCAGUGGGUUGAGGCCGGUCGGCUCAGUAGGGAAGGGGAGAGAAAAUCCACCGGGAGAAAUAAAAUUGAUUCCUAAAAGAAGGGGCUGAUUAAUAGGUAGUUUUAAUUAUUUGGGUGAUGUGUUUCAUACGCUUGGUGAGCAUAACAGGGAAGGGAAAUGGGCAACUAAAUAUCCUAAAGGCUACUGCACAAUCAACGCAAUCAAUACAACGCUGCCUCAUAUAAUGAAAAUUCGUAACAUGAAGCGGAUCAUGCUCAAUA
Molecule: long non-coding RNA, 1580 nt
Organism: Oryza sativa Japonica Group (Japanese rice)
Lineage: Eukaryota; Viridiplantae; Streptophyta; Magnoliopsida; Poales; Poaceae
Source: RefSeq, a predicted model, not a curated record